RNAcentral lists this ribosomal RNA (253 nucleotides) under uncultured bacterium. RNAcentral's name for it is "partial 16S ribosomal RNA". It matches the Rfam family "Bacterial small subunit ribosomal RNA", at positions 524 to 776 of the family's 1533-position model. The record is from RNAcentral.
UACGGAGGGUGCAAGCGUUAAUCGGAAUUACUGGGCGUAAAGCGCGCGUAGGUGGUUCAGUAAGUUGAAUGUGAAAUCCCCGGGCUCAACCUGGGAACUGCAUCCAAAACUGCUGAGCUAGAGUACGGUAGAGGGUAGUGGAAUUUCCUGUGUAGCGGUGAAAUGCGUAGAUAUAGGAAGGAACACCAGUGGCGAAGGCGACUACCUGGACUGGUACUGACACUGAGGUGCGAAAGCGUGGGGAGCAAACAGG